AGAGUUUGAUUAUGGCUCAGAACGUACGCUGGCGGCACGCCUAACACAUGCAAGUCGAACGAAGUAGCAAUACUUAGUGGCAGACGGGUGAGUAACAUGUAGGUAUCUGCCCUUUGGCCUGGAAUAACACGAGGAAACUUGUGCUAAUACCGGAUAAGUCUUUACGGAGAAAGCUUUAUGCACCAUUGGAUGAGCCUGCACUUGAUUAGUUUGUUGGUGGGGUAAUGGCCUACCAAGACUGUGAUCAAUAGCUGAUUUGAGAGGAUGAUCAGCCACAUUGGGACUGAGACACGGCCCAAACUCCUACGGGAGGCAGCAGUGGGGAAUCUUGCACAAUGGAGGAAACUCUGAUGCAGCGAUGCCGCGUGAGUGAAGAAGGCCCUUGGGUUGUAAAGCUCUUUCGUCGGGGAAGAAAAUGACUGUACCCGAAUAAGAAGGUCCGGCUAACUUCGUGCCAGCAGCCGCGGUAAUACGAAGGGACCUAGCGUAGUUCGGAAUUACUGGGCUUAAAGAGUUCGUAGGUGGUUGAAAUAGUUGGUGGUGAAAUCCCAGAGCUUAACUCUGGAACUGCCAUCAAAACUUUUCAGCUAGAGUAUGAUAGAGGAAAGCAGAAUUUCUAGUGUAGAGGUGAAAUUCGUAGAUAUUAGAAAGAAUACCAAUUGCGAAGGCAGCUUUCUGGAUCAUUACUGACACUGAGGAACGAAAGCAUGGGUAGCGAAGAGGAUUAGAUACCCUCGUAGUCCAUGCCGUAAACGAUGUGUGUUAGACGUUGGAAAUUUAUUUUCAGUGUCGCAGGGAAACCGAUAAACACACCGCCUGGGGAGUACGACCGCAAGGUUAAAACUCAAAUGAAUUGACGGGGACCCGCACAAGUAGUGGAGCAUGUGGUUUAAUUCGAAGAUACGCGCAGAACCUUACCAACACUUGACAUGUUCGUCGCGACUCUAAGAGAUUAGAGUUUUCGGUUCGGCCGGACGAAACACAGGUGCUGCAUGGCUGUCGUCAGCUCGUGUCGUGAGAUGUUGGGUUAAGUCCCGCAACGAGCGCAACCCUCACUUUUAGUUGCCAUCAUUAAGUUGGGCACUCUGAAAGAACUGCCAGUGAUAAGCUGGAGGAAGGUGGGGAUGACGUCAAGUCCUCAUGGCCCUUACGUGUUGGGCUACACACGUGCUACAAUGGUAUUUACAGCAGGAAGCAAGACUGCGAAGUUAAGCAAAUCCCUAAAAGAUACCUCAGUUCGGAUUGCACUCUGCAACUCGAGUGCAUGAAGCUGGAAUUACUAGUAAUCGUGGAUCAGCGUGCCACGGUGAAUGCGUUCCCGGGUCUUGUACACACCGCCCGUCACACCAUGGGAGUUGGUUCUACCUUAAGGCAAGGUUUUAAACCCUUGACCACGGUAUAGUCAGCGACUGGGGUGAAGUCGUAACAAGGUA
This 1433-nucleotide ribosomal RNA is filed under the name uncultured bacterium. Its description in RNAcentral is "bacterial SSU rRNA". It matches the Rfam family "Bacterial small subunit ribosomal RNA". The record is from RNAcentral.